GUGAAUGCUCCUUCUGUUGAGUGGGAUCGGGAUCAGGAUACCUUGAGGCAUUUGCAUGAUUCGUUCAAGACUGUUGGGUGAUGAUUGAUGAAUUGAUUGUGGAUUUGGGGGGGGNNNNNNNNNNNNNNNGGGGGGGGGAGGGGGGGGUUGUGGUUUGUGUUUUUGAUGCUGUGUAUGUAUCAUUGGAUGAUUUGAGUUGCAGAGUUGGAAGGCGAUGAUGAUGAACUGAUUCUGGAUAGUCUUUGGCAAUGAAAUCUGGUAUUACAAGGCGGAUGCCGCUUUCGGUCUCGAAAAUUGUUAUGUUGAUUUUUUCGAAUCUAGCUCAAUACAUUUUUUACUUCAGUUCAAAUGAAAUAAAAGAAAGUUACGGAGAGUUUCGAUUUUUUAUUUUUCAGACUUUCCGUGGUCCGAGUAUAAUUAACUUACAUGUAAAAUUUGGAGGUUUUCAACAUUUA
This 455-nucleotide long non-coding RNA is filed under the name Linum usitatissimum (flax). RNAcentral's name for it is "long non-coding RNA (LUSI_LNC006120)". The record is from RNAcentral. Lineage: Eukaryota; Viridiplantae; Streptophyta; Magnoliopsida; Malpighiales; Linaceae.